UAAGGUCUGACCUGCCCACUGAAAUUAUUUUAAAUGGCCGCAGUAAUUUGACUGUGCAAAGGUAGCAUAAUCAUUAGUUUUUUAAUUAAAAGCUUGUAUGAAGGGUUGGACGAGAUAAAAUCUGUCUCUAUUUAAUUUAUUAUAAAAUUUAAUUUUUAAGUUAAAAAGCUUAAAUUUAUUUAAAAGACGAGAAGACCCUAUAGAUCUUUAUAGUUUUGAUUUUGAAUUUAAUUAAUAAAUUUUUAGGAUUUAUGAUUUAAACUAUUUUAUUGGGGUAAUAGAAAGAUUAAAAUAAUUCUUUUUUUCUUUAAACAUUUAUUUAUGUUUUUAAUGAUCCAAUUUUAUUGAUUAUAAGAUAAAGUUACCUUAGGGAUAACAGCGUAAUUUUUUUAGAGAGUUCUUAUCGAUAAAAAAGUUUGCGACCUCGAUGUUGGAUUAAAGAUUAGUUUAGGUGUAGAAGUUUAAAUUUUUGGUCUGUUCGACCAUUAAAUCUUUACAUGAUCUGAGUUCAGACCGGCGUAAGCCAGGUCGGUUUCUAUCUUUAAUAAUUUUAAAAUAUUUUAGUACGAAAGGACCAAAUAUUUAAUAUAUUUAUAUUUAAUUUUUUGAAUAUUAUU
RNAcentral lists this ribosomal RNA (617 nucleotides) under Lissopterus sp. LIM1. RNAcentral describes it as "partial 16S ribosomal RNA". It matches the Rfam family "Bacterial large subunit ribosomal RNA", at positions 1846 to 2760 of the family's 2925-position model. The record is from RNAcentral. Lineage: Eukaryota; Metazoa; Arthropoda; Insecta; Coleoptera; Carabidae.